UUCAGACUAUGCAGUUUGAUUCAAAUCAAUAUCUGCUUUUGAUGAACUUAGAAUGUCAUUCUAUUCGGAGACCAAAUCAUAACGCAACUCAAUGUAAUGCAGGCAGUUGCUAUGUCUAUCAAUAAGUAGGGAUAUUGUGUUGCUGGUGUAGAUUUGCACACAUCAUUGCUGUAGUUUCCUGUACAGAGCCACACUCUUUGCAAAAUCGUUCAUACUUGUGCCCUGGAACCUUGCUAACAUCUGUAUUGACAAGGGCAGUCAGUUCUGCCCUCAUUAGUCAGAGAUUUUGCAAGUACUUGUCUGAACCUGUUGACUGUUGUACUAGAACUUAUAGUAUGUCUACGGCAGAUACUCAGUACAUGUUCACAUACCAGUUUUUAUACUCUGAUCAAAAUGUUUAGACUAUGCAGUUUGGUUCAAGUAAAGAUCUGCUUUUGAUUAACUUAGAAUGUCAUUCUAUUCCAGAGUCCAAAUUGGAACGCAAAUCAAUGUAAAAAAGGCAGUUGCUAUGUCUAUCAAUUUAAGUAUGGAUAUUGGGUUGCUUGCUGGUGUAGAUUUGUACAUAUCGUUACUGUCGUUUCCUGUACAGAGCCGUACUCUUUGCAAAAUCGUUCAUACUUGCGCCCUGGAACCUUGCUAACCUCUGUUUCUGAACC
Molecule: long non-coding RNA, 656 nt
Filed under: Setaria italica (foxtail millet)
Lineage: Eukaryota; Viridiplantae; Streptophyta; Magnoliopsida; Poales; Poaceae
Description: long non-coding RNA (SITA_LNC006365)
Source: RNAcentral